AUGGCUUUUGAUUGCUCCCAGGAAAACAAAACACAAACUCUUCAGUCAGCAAUCCUCAUCCUUAGAGUGUCCUCAUCAUCAUCACUUCUCAGAAGCCUAACUUCACUAUCCAUCAUGACACCCCCGCUCAGUCAGGCCAGCAGACAGUCCUGGACUAGACUAAGAAAAUCUCCCCUGGCUUCUCUGACCCUCAGUUCCCAACCUCUUCAAGUAAUGGGAGCACAGGAGGAGGCAUAGUGGAGCUCUCCAGUCCAACAUCAAGAGCUCAUCAUUAGCUGGAGGAAAGGAACUACUGUUCAAAGGAAGAAGCUCUAGGAGGCAGAAUCCUGAGACUUGCCACAUCAGGAGAAAGGAUGUACUUCUGAGUGUUUUACACCUGGCUCUGAAAGAAAAAGUACACAAGAUACAUUUCAGCUUAAUCUUCAUUUUUAUCAUUUUGUCUAUUGUUUUAUUGAGUCAAGCAAUGAACAAAGCAGUAUUUCAAGCCAUGAUUUGUUGUGUUUGUUAUAUCUCAUGUUGAAAUUUAACAAUUAACAGCUUGGCAAGAAUGAGCUGACUCCAACAUGCCUCAAUAAUGAACUUGAAAAAGAAGGCAUAAGAAAAGAGGGGAGCCAUGUAGAGAGAUGACUUCUGGGGUGUUCCUCUACUGUCAGGAGCCAAGCUGGAGUAGUCCAUCAAGUUGAAGGAGGUCUAGUGAGAUGAAACGAUACAGCUCACAUUAGAUGUUCAGGGCUCUAGAAGUCAGGAUAUCUGGAUAUACCUUGAAGGAACUAAACUAGAACUAGUCUAGAACUAAAAUCUAGAACACUUUCUGAAGAGACUAUAAUAGAUCUCCAGGCCUGCUACUGAAAACAUGCUGAAAGGAAGCAGGCUUAAGUUUCUACCCACAUAGCGAGGGAUAAUUUUACCCUUUUUUGAAUUUACCCCAAGAGGUCUCUACAUCUAACACCUCAGGAAGUACAACCCAUUUGUGUAUGGGGAAAGAGAAGUCAAAGAAAGGAGAACAAUAUCCUUAUAUGCAAAAAUAUUUACAAUAGCUCAUUUUGUGGUGGCAAAGAACUGGAAAUUAAGGAUAUGGUCAUAAAUUUGGUAGUGGUCAAACAAAUCAUGGCAUGAAGUAUCAACAUGGGGGAAAGGAUUAGAUUUUUAGAGCAGAGACACCAAUUGACUUCUUGAGAAGAUGCUAACUAGAGAAUGAGAAUGCAUUCAUUUAAGGGAAUGAACUUGCAGUUUGAAAUUUUUUUCUCUUAUGUUCUAGUUAAAUACUAUUGCUGAAUCUACUGACUUUAGAAUUUCCAGUAAGAUUAGGAGUGAAACAAGGAUGCCCAUUAUCACUUCUAUUAUUUAACAUUAUACUAGAAACAGUAGCAGUAGCAAUUAGAGAAGAAAAAGAAAUUUAAGGUAUUAAAAUAGGCAAUGAGGAGACCAAGCUAUCACUCUUUGCAGAGGAUAUGAUGGUCUACUUAAAGGAUCCUAGAGGGGGCAGCUGGGUAGCUCAGUGGAUUGAGAGCCAGGCCUCUGUAUUGGUUCCAAGACAGAAGGUAAGGGUUUAAAAAAAAAAAGAAUCCUAGAGAAUCAACUAAAAAGCUAGUAGAAAUAAUCAACAACUUUAGCAAAGUUGCAGGGUACAAAAUAAACCCACAUAAGUCAUCA
Monodelphis domestica (gray short-tailed opossum) is the source of this 1653-nucleotide long non-coding RNA. NCBI's taxonomy places the organism in Eukaryota, Metazoa, Chordata, Mammalia, Didelphimorphia, Didelphidae. The record is from Ensembl.